This 120-nucleotide small nucleolar RNA is filed under the name Echinops telfairi (small Madagascar hedgehog). RNAcentral describes it as "Small nucleolar RNA SNORA61 (ENSETEG00000026480.1)". Lineage: Eukaryota; Metazoa; Chordata; Mammalia; Afrosoricida; Tenrecidae. The record is from RNAcentral.
CCCCUCCAGAUUCCUUCCCCAUCAGAUCUAAACACUGGUUUGAGCAGUUAUAAAAGGAGGACAAAUAAAAUGAGAGCAACAUAAAUUCUUUUGUGACUUUUAAGCUAGUUUCAAACAAAG